RNAcentral lists this ribosomal RNA (351 nucleotides) under Clostridioides difficile. RNAcentral describes it as "partial 23S ribosomal RNA". It matches the Rfam family "Bacterial large subunit ribosomal RNA", at positions 799 to 1149 of the family's 2925-position model. Lineage: Bacteria; Bacillati; Bacillota; Clostridia; Peptostreptococcales; Peptostreptococcaceae. The record is from RNAcentral.
CGGGGAUGACUUGUGGGUAGCGGUGAAAUUCCAAUCGAGCCCGGAGAUAGCUGGUUCUCCCCGAAAUAGCUUUAGGGCUAGCCUCAAGGUGAGAGAUACGGAGGUAGAGCACUGAAUGUCCUAGGGGGUAUUGCACCUACCGAAGACUAUCAAACUCCGAAUGCCGUCAUCUUAUACUUGGGAGUCAGACUGUGGGUGAUAAGAUUCAUAGUCGAAAGGGCAACAGCCCAGAUCGUCAGCUAAGGUCCCUAAAUGUAAGUUAAGUGGUAAAGGAUGUGGGAUUGCACAGACAACCAGGAUGUUGGCUUAGAAGCAGCCACUCAUUCAAAGAGUGCGUAAUAGCUCACUGGU